Molecule: unclassified non-coding RNA, 238 nt
Filed under: fungal sp.
Lineage: Eukaryota; Fungi
Also listed under: 1 other name
Description: partial internal transcribed spacer region
Rfam family: Eukaryotic small subunit ribosomal RNA (bases 1-46)
Source: RNAcentral
AAGUCGUAACAAGGUAUCCGUAGGUGAACCUGCGGAUGGAUCAUUAAGAGGUUAUCAAUCUUUGAUAUACCACUGUGGUGUAAUGUGUGUCGAAUUGGCGGCGAUGUUGUGUGCGUGUCCUUGGGCAUGCGCAUGCGCGCCGCCAGCAACAAACCCUAUUUUAAACUACUAGUUGUCUGAUUACUCUCUGUAAAGAAACAAUCUUAUACAACUGCUAGCAACGGAUCACUCGGCUCUC